UAGCACGUCUUUAGCACAACAGAAGGUUCGGUUGGCAGGAGUCUGAAGACUGGACGAGAUGGUGUCACUUGAGCUCUAUGGAGAUUUAAUAAGAGACAUGAUUGAUCAAAACCUCUCGCACGCGGACAUUUCCACGAAUUUAUCACAAUAAGGUGUGCAGCGAUGUUCUGAAAUGAGUGUCAGGAGAUUUUGUGCACAACAUUGUGCAACAUUUCCAGGAGGGGACAUGUAUCCGACACACAAUUAGAAGUUGCUAUCAGCAGGGCAAUAAAUCAGACAGGGUCAACAUAUGGUUGAAAGAUGAUGACCAGGUACCUGUCUGCGAUGGGAGUAGUUGCUGGUGAACGCCAGAUAGGGAGGAUUUUGAAAACAACACAUUGUCCUUAUCACGAAAUGCGCAAACGUGGUGCACGUAACCUUAACCCCGUCCCCUACAGUGCUGCAUACAUGGGACACAAAAUCCACAUCGACCAGAAUGAAAAACUGGUCAUGUUCGGAGUGACGCACGUUUUUGCAGUAGAUGGGUACAGCAGUAAGGACGUUGCCCAUGCAACCAUGCCUGUCAAGAAUAACCUCACGAUAUAUGAGGAAGUUUACAGAUCAGCAGUUCUUGAAGAUGGGAUGUGGGACCAGGUCAGGGUGGACCAUGGCCGUGAGUUUUACUUGUCCCUCUACAUGCAGGAGAUGCUGUCUAACCACAGACACAACUUGCAAAGGUGGAAGCUGAAUUAGUGAGGAUGACUCCUGCUCCUGUCAUCUCUAAGCUCCUCACACAUCUUUACCUGCACAUGAGGAAAAUCACUCCUGUAGAAUGCAGGUAUGUUUGUCAUUAUUAUAAAAAGAUGUUGACUGGUGACCUGUCAGAAACCCAUUAUACAGAGUCAGCCAAAAUAAUGUUUACACACAUCAGGAAAAGAAAAACUAGCAUAAAUAUUUCAAUACCAAAUUUAUUCAGACAUCCUGAGAUUAAUAAAAGUUAUCUUUGGCCUCUACAAUUACAAGAGGUGCUCAAAGUGGUGGCCACUGGCUUCCAGACAUUUCUGUUCUGUUGUAGACGUCACUUAUUGAUGCUCCAUUCAUGAGGGUAAUGCCAUCUGUUGGGAAAACGUCGUACAACAGGACACAGAGUUAUCGUGAUUUGAUCAAACUUUGAAAGAGGAAUCUAUAUGUAUAGAAGUACUUAUACAAAUGAAAUAUUUAUAAAAGUUUUUCUUUUCCUGAUGUGUGUAUACAUUAUUUUUGGCUGACUCUGAACUUAAUGAGAACAAAACUGUCAUUUAAUCGUUUCUCUGAAAGCUUCUUUAGUGAAAACCGGCUGGUGUUCUGCUUUGAAACAAACUGCUGUUGAGGUCUGUGUUUAUAGGUUUAACCCCACAGUUUCUGAAUGAACUGAUAGUUGUUUUUUUCCCUGAUCAAUGUGGACGUUAUAAUUGAUGGUAACAUUUACUGGUCAUAUAAUCAGCAUGACAAUACAACAGUAUAACAUUAUGACCACCUGACUAAUACUGUGUUGGUCCCUUUAUGCUGCUAAAACUCCUCUGACCCAGUGGUUCAUCAGAACCUCUGGGGAUGUCCUGUGGAUUCUGUGGAUCCUGUGGGUUGCAGGGUGGGUCCUACCUAGACCAGGCUGAUCCUGGACCAUCCCACAGAUGCUCCAUCAGAUGUGGAUGUGGGGAGUGUGGAACCCAGAUGUUCAGAGGGAGAUGAUGCCACAUCUGGUCCAGCUGAUGGAAGGUCUUGAAGUUCUCUGACUGGCCUCGACUGAAGAUGGUCGUCUCACUGGAUUUAAGAGAUGCACAAUGAGGGACGUCUGCAGAGACUGAGAAAGAGUCUCACCACAUCCUGACAUGAGGAAAAAGACUUUAUUGAAGACUGCAAUGAGAAAAACUAUCAGACAGCAGAUGGCUGCCAUUCAAGGUGAGCUCUGAACAUUUGAUCUGGAACAGGAAUUCAAUAACGGCAGCAUGAGCUUCAUUUCAGUCUGUAGCUGCUGAAUUCAUGGAUGAAUCAUCUGGCACUCGAGAGGAAGACCAUCAAACAUCCAUGUCAGCUGAUGGAGGUCCAAGAGUCUCACCGAACAAACAACCUACAGAGUGAAGACCUCAAAUCUGAUUGGACGGCCUCCUAUUCAGCCACGUGUGAACAAAUGCCUCUAAGCUGAUUUGUUUUCUAAAAUAAAUCUAGUUUGAGUCCUAAUCUAUGCCUGUGUGUUUGCUUCUUUACACCGCUGUUAACAGUUUAGGCUGUUAGAUUGUUCCAGAUAAGACAAGUAC
Molecule: long non-coding RNA, 2273 nt
Organism: Amphiprion ocellaris (clown anemonefish)
Lineage: Eukaryota; Metazoa; Chordata; Actinopteri; Pomacentridae
Source: Ensembl